RNAcentral lists this ribosomal RNA (468 nucleotides) under uncultured bacterium. RNAcentral's name for it is "partial 16S ribosomal RNA". It matches the Rfam family "Bacterial small subunit ribosomal RNA", at positions 28 to 507 of the family's 1533-position model. The record is from RNAcentral.
GAUGAACGCUGGCGGCGUGCUUAACACAUGCAAGUCGAACGGUGAAGGCGGAGCUUGCUCUGCUGGAUCAGUGGCGAACGGGUGAGUAACACGUGAGCAAUCUGCCCCUGACUUUGGGAUAAGCUCUGGAAACGGCGUCUAAUACUGGAUACGAGCUGCGAAGGCAUCUUCAGCAGCUGGAAAUAAUUUCGGUCAGGGAUGAGCUCGCGGCCUAUCAGCUUGUUGGUGAGGUAAUGGCUCACCAAGGCGUCGACGGGUAGCCGGCCUGAGAGGGUGACCGGCCACACUGGGACUGAGACACGGCCCAGACUCCUACGGGAGGCAGCAGUGGGGAAUAUUGCACAGUGGGCGAAAGCCUGAUGCAGCAACGCCGCGUGUGGGACGACGGCCUUCGGGUUGUAAACCUCUUUUGGCAGGGAAGAAGCGAGAGUGACGGUACCUGCAGAAAAAGCGCCGGCUAACUACGUG